This 107-nucleotide small RNA is filed under the name Paenibacillus sp. Its description in RNAcentral is "Guanidine-I sequence". It matches the Rfam family "Guanidine-I riboswitch aptamer". From Rfam's summary of the family: This family represents a conserved RNA structure found upstream of the ykkC and yxkD genes in Bacillus subtilis and related genes in other bacteria. The record is from RNAcentral. Lineage: Bacteria; Bacillati; Bacillota; Bacilli; Caryophanales; Paenibacillaceae. RNAcentral also lists the same sequence under 1 other name.
AAAUAGCGCAUCUAGGGUUCCGCUUUCUUCUUUGGAGGAAAGGUCUGGACCGAGCGAUGCGGACACUAUGUAGUGUUACACCACUAAGGGACAAAAGCCCAGAAGGA